UACAGAGGCCCGUAGCGUUGUUCGGAUUUACUGGGCGUAUGGGCGCGUAGGCGGCCUAGCGUGCCGGAUGUGAAAUCUCCGGGCUCAACCCGGAAAGUGCGUCCGAAACUGCCAGGCUCGAGUGCGGGAUGGGGAAGGGGAAUGCAGGGUGUAGCGGUGAAAUGCGUUGAUAUCCUGCAGAACACCGGAGGCGAAGGCGCCUUCCUGGAACGCAACUGACGCUGAGGCGCGAGAGCCGGGGGAGCAAACA
This 250-nucleotide ribosomal RNA is filed under the name uncultured prokaryote. Its description in RNAcentral is "partial 16S ribosomal RNA". It matches the Rfam family "Bacterial small subunit ribosomal RNA", at positions 524 to 774 of the family's 1533-position model. The record is from RNAcentral.